RNAcentral lists this long non-coding RNA (301 nucleotides) under Oryza sativa Indica Group (long-grained rice). RNAcentral's name for it is "lncRNA OsMH63_07G002840". Lineage: Eukaryota; Viridiplantae; Streptophyta; Magnoliopsida; Poales; Poaceae. The record is from RNAcentral.
AUGUCGUAUCGCUCCCUGCUGCACAAGAGGAUCCUCCCCGCCGCCGCCGCCGCCGCCACCGCCGCCGCCGGAGCUGCUCUCCGGCGACCGGCGGCCGGCUCUCGCCUUCUCCAAGCCCGACUUCACCAGGCAACGCAGCAGCAGUGCAUUUCUGACGCUGGUUUUAGAGACAGCGAGAAGGAUAUCGAUAGGGAAAUAGAACAGCUCGCUCAAAAGUUCGAAGAAAACAGCAAACGGUGGAAGCAAGAACGGGAGGAGUUGGACAACCUCAGGAGGUACACCUCCUCCUAAACAUCUUGCA